RNAcentral lists this ribosomal RNA (564 nucleotides) under Triticum aestivum (bread wheat). RNAcentral describes it as "partial small subunit ribosomal RNA". The record is from RNAcentral. Lineage: Eukaryota; Viridiplantae; Streptophyta; Magnoliopsida; Poales; Poaceae.
AUGUUGGACUAUAUUUUCCACAAGCUAGCUAACAGGAUAGUUGGGAAGCAGAGAGAAGCUGAGAAGUGGACUGGUAGACUAUGCCCCAAAAUUCAGAAGAAAUUAGACAAAUAUGUUGAGUGGGCAAAGAACUGCAGGGUAAAAGAAUAUGGCAAAGGUGUAUUUCAGGUUAUGUCUCUAAACAACACAUAUGUUGUGGAUCUCAACAUGAAUAGCUCUGAAUGUAAGAGAUGGGAGCUAUCUGCCAUACCUUGCCAUCAUGCUAUUGCAUGUUUCAGGCACGAGAGGAUUGAACCAGAGAGCAUGGUUCAUGAGUGCUAUACAGUGGAAAACUACAAGGAUUGCUAUGGAUGGAACCUGAUGCCUAUGAGUGACAUGAAGAAGUGGGAAAAGAUGCAUGGUAUCCCUGUCUUCCCACCUAUAUACACAAAAGUCAUGGGUAGGCCAAAGAAAAAUAGAAAGAAAGAGCCAGAAGAGAAACGAGAUAAGAAUGGACUGAAGAAAAUUUCCAAACAUGGUGUGGAGCUGCUGACCAUAACAAGAAGGGACACCACAAUCACCUAA